Long non-coding RNA from Anas platyrhynchos (mallard), 2424 nucleotides. RefSeq lists it as uncharacterized. The record is from RefSeq and is a predicted model, not a curated record. NCBI's taxonomy places the organism in Eukaryota, Metazoa, Chordata, Aves, Anseriformes, Anatidae.
AGCUCCCACACCGCCUCUGACUGGUGCUGCCCAGGCAGCUGGUACCUCCCUCACAUGCUGCUAAUGGCCCAUGCUACCAGGAUCCUGAAAAAGACAUGGGCAGGGGCAUUGCUCCUCAGCAGUUAUUGCUUCCACAUGUGUGUAACUGGCUUAAAAAUCACCUGCUGUGUCCCAGCAGCCCUGUUCUCAUUUCUAUCUCCCUCACAGCCGUUAGCUGGGCCCUUCAGGUGCAGCUGUCCGUGCUGGUGAGGCCAGGGCUGCUCCAUGCUGGCCCCCCAUGGCCCCACCACAGGGCCCAGCUGAGUCCCUCAGCCACAGGUGGGCUCCUCACAGACAGCAGAGCUCAGCAAGGGCCAAACACUGCCCGGCAGUGAGAAAAGGAGUGCGAGAAGCAGCCCUGCGAGCAGCCAGGGCAGGAGGUGCUCCAGGCACCCAGCAGAGCUUGCCCUGCAGCCCCUGGAGAGCCCAGGGUGUGAGGAGGAAGGGGCGGCACAGAGGAGCUGCUGGGUGUGACCGCAGCCCCGCUCCCCAGCCCUGUGCUGAGAUUGUGGUUGGCUGGAGACUGAAGAGGAAAGCACUUUAUUAUUAAAGAGAGAAGAAUCUCCCUGAACUGAACAAAUGUGUCACUUUUGAAUACGGAUUCAUGAAAAGGCAGAGAAGGAGAAGAAAAAAAGAAUAAAGGUAGGCAUUCACCAAAAGAUCUGAAAUUUGUAACUUGUGACUGUUUAUCAGUCUUUAAGUUCUGAAUGAAACUGCAAGUCAUACGUCAGUGAAUGGGAUUCAGAUCAUUAGCUUUGCAUUUCUUUUUUUCUUUAAAAGUGGCUGUUUGCAGAUAAAAUUUGCCAGAGUUGGUUGUAAUUGCAAUCAGGGAAAUCUAAUGGCUUUGUUUGAUGUGCUGCUUAGACCUUUCAGGCUGUAAGGCUUCUGAGGAGUCUUUUAAAGAUAUUGAUUAAAUUCUGGAGUUACUCUGUGCAAUUCAGUACUGUGCUGUGUGUAGAAGUCGGACUAGAUGAGUGUAAUGGUGAAUUCUGGACAUGAAAUUUUUUCAAGUCACUAAUAAAUUACUUUUUCCUUAUUUUAUUUCUGUUUUUAACACUUAACUGUACAGUUAAGUGUUUAAAAAAAAAAAAAAAAGAUUUAGCUACUGGAAUAUCUUUUGGUGAGCAUGAUGUUAUACAAAUGCCAGGAUUUCUUUCACUUUACCUGAAUCUGUAAUUUGACAUUUGAUAAUUCUCAUGUAUGCUUACAUGAUAUUUUGGAGGGAAUCCUCUUUGAAUUGCCUUUUUAUGUUUGAGUAGCUCUCAGUCUCCUGUAUACCUGUGGUUUGUUCUUCCGUUUGUGGUGAUGUGGAAUGGGUUAGAGAAGAGGAUUGCCACGGAUGCUGGUCAAUAUGAUUGGUCAGAUGCAGUCCAAGAUGAAAAUGUAGGCACGUGAGAUAUGUUAGGUAGGGUGGUGGUUCAAGAAAUAAAGUGAACAGUGUUUGAGAUACUUUCUCUAAGCUACCACAGCAGACAUGUUUUAGAUGUGUCUAAUGCUUUGGUGUUAACUGAUGAAAGUUAGGAAAAGUUUUGCAAUUAAUAUAGUAAGCUCUGCUGGACUGCAGCAGCCUGUUUGAGAUAGACCAGGGAUAACAGAAACAGGAGCAGUGGGUUCUUUGGCUGCAGCUGGACAGUCCAGGCUGUGCUAUCUGGGCAGAGGUGGGAUGACUUUGUGAAUUUCAGCCAGUUGUGAGGAGCUUCAUAGUGUAUGAAAAAUAAAUUCAUGCUGUUCACCUGCAAAAUGGAGGCAGAAGGGGUCUUUAAGUAGCAUACAGGGACCUGCUAAUGAGCAAUAUUCUCUCUGGUAAGGUGAAAUAAAGAUUUUGCCUAGAUGGCUGUAUAUUCUAGAUGAAAUAUUGCCCUCAGAGAAACCACUAAGAGUUUUUCCUCUCUUUUGUCUUGCUCAGCAUUUUGAAAACCAAUGGGUAGUGAGUUUCACACUACAGUUGUGAUAUUUCAUGAAACACAAGUUCUAAAAUUGUUCAUGUUAUUAUAUUUUUGUAAAUUUAUUAUUAAAUAUUACUUGUUAUUACUUGUGUUCUCAUAUUUCUUUUUACUUGAAGUAUUAUGUGCUGCUAUUACUAGUGUUCAAAUGUUAGAGUGGGCUUUUGUUAGCUCAUUUCCUGACUGUGUUGUUCUUAACACCUCUGAGAGCUGUAGAAUAUGAACUUUUUCAUUCAAUCUUUCAGCAUCUUGUAAUUUAUCCGUAAUGACACUGUAAAAAUGCAGAAUGAUCGAAGUGUAUUACAAAUUUCUCCUAAAAUGUGUUUAUACGUAUAGAAAUAUGUGCACCUGUAUAAAGGAUUAAAUUCAAUAACAUUUAUGUAUUAUACUUCGUUAUGCAUCAUAUUAUAUGGAAGAUUUAAUUAAAACCUAAGAAAAUUUA